CAAUUCUUCAUAUUUCGGAUUGGGUUCAUCCCUGUAGUAAUCGGAUGAAUUGAGUUGUAGACAUGAAAGCGUAAGAACUCAACGGGAUUCCCUUCUUUGUUUGUCUGAUUCGAUGGGAAAAGGCCUGUUGGGUUCUUAAGAAUCAGAGUCUUUUUUUCGUCUAAAUGACAAAAUAGAUUUCUUUUUCUGCUGUCCUUACGGGCCUCUUGAAUUAUCUCUUUAACUAUUUCUUUAAUUUGUUUUUGUAUCUAAUGUGGCUUUUUUUGUUUUCUUUAUUAUUGAAUUGAUAGGAAUUAUCUUGUUAAGACCCUAUGAAUCGAUUAAAACCUCAAAUUCAUACUAAAACCAUGAUGAUUCAACUAAGCUAAGCCAAGGAUUAUCUGAGUAAGAACCGUUGGAUCAUCACUUAUUCCAUCAAUAGAUAGACUAUGAGUCCACAUGUGAGAGAAGAAGUCAAAUAUGACGGCUGAAAUAGUAAAAUAACGGUAAAAAAAC
RNAcentral lists this long non-coding RNA (495 nucleotides) under Olea europaea subsp. europaea. The record is from RNAcentral. Lineage: Eukaryota; Viridiplantae; Streptophyta; Magnoliopsida; Lamiales; Oleaceae.